UACAGAGGUCUCAAGCGUUGUUCGGAUUCAUUGGGCGUAAAGGGCGCGUAGGCGGCGGGGUAAGUCGGGUGUGAAAUCUCAGAGCUCAACUCUGAAAUGGCACUUGAUACUGCUCUGCUAGAGGACUGGAGAGGAGAUUGGAAUUCACGGUGUAGCAGUGAAAUGCGUAGAUAUCGUGAGGAAGACCAGUGGCGAAGGCGGAUCUCUGGACAGUUCCUGACGCUGAGGCGCGAAGGCCAGGGGAGCAAACGGG
This 253-nucleotide ribosomal RNA is filed under the name uncultured bacterium. Its description in RNAcentral is "partial 16S ribosomal RNA". It matches the Rfam family "Bacterial small subunit ribosomal RNA", at positions 524 to 776 of the family's 1533-position model. The record is from RNAcentral.